UACCAAACCUUCAUCUUUCAGAGGGACAAAGAUCUUAAACUUUUGUUUGUAAUAUAUUUCAGUCAACAGGCUGAUCUCUUUUGUUCUCUUCGGCGAUUUUCUAUUCGCAUAGGCGAUUCUCUUGUUCGCGUUGGCGAUUUUGAAGUAUAAAGUUCAACAAGUUGAGAACUUGAUUCUCACUCUCAUCUUUCUCUGACAUGUUGAACAUAAAUAAAACUAUGGUUGAGUUCUUCUCCUUCUGUGUUAAGUGUUAAACCGUUCGAUUGGAAAGUUAAAUUUCCUCUUUGUUAGAUAAGCUUGGAUCUUGAUUCAGAGGUGGUAUCAAGCUUCACUCGUGUCAGCUGUAGUCUCCACGAAGGUCAAGAAACAAAGUUUGGAUCAAGCUUCGGAGAUUCAGGACAUAUUCUAGAUGAGUUGGAGCUGCCAUAAGGGUUAGCGUUCCGACAAGUUUCUAUCCUUUUCUUCUAAAGCUCUUCCCUGUGAUAAAAUCUAACAAUUGGAGAAGAAGAUCUUGCGAUUGAAGGUGAAAGAACAUACAAGCAGAUUCAAGCAUGUUCGAUACGGAGAUUGUAAGUUUCCGGCGAAAGGUUCCGGCACCGUCUUCUUCUUUCUCGAUGGAGAAAACACAGCCACGUAUUAACCACGUAUUGACCACGUGUCAGCCAUAUUUUCAUCUUUAUCUAUUUGGUUUGUAUGGGCUUUGUUCUGGGCAGAAUAUUAUAGUUGAAUCUGUUUGUAAAUUGUCCUUUGGGCUUCGUUUAAUAAAACGAAAAGUUGAC
RNAcentral lists this long non-coding RNA (779 nucleotides) under Brassica napus (rape). Its description in RNAcentral is "long non-coding RNA (BNAP_LNC013682)". The record is from RNAcentral. Lineage: Eukaryota; Viridiplantae; Streptophyta; Magnoliopsida; Brassicales; Brassicaceae.